RNAcentral lists this ribosomal RNA (502 nucleotides) under uncultured bacterium. RNAcentral's name for it is "partial 16S ribosomal RNA". It matches the Rfam family "Bacterial small subunit ribosomal RNA", at positions 30 to 523 of the family's 1533-position model. The record is from RNAcentral.
AUUGAACGCUAGCGGCAGGCUUAACACAUGCAAGUCGAGCGGGGUGAUGGUGCUUGCACUAUCACUUAGCGGCGGACGGGUGAGUAAUGCUUAGGAAUCUGCCUAUUAGUGGGGGACAACAUCUCGAAAGGGAUGCUAAUACCGCAUACGUCCUACGGGAGAAAGCAGGGGAUCACUCGUGACCUUGCGCUAAUAGAUGAGCCUAAGUCGGAUUAGCUAGUUGGUGGGGUAAAGGCCUACCAAGGCGACGAUCUGUAGCGGUCUGAGAGGAUGAUCCGCCACACUGGGACUGGGACACGGCCCAGACUCCUACGGGAGGCAGCAGUGGGGAAUAUUGGACAAUGGGGGGAACCCUGAUCCAGCCAUGCCGCGUGUGUGAAGAAGGCCUUAUGGUUGUAAAGCACUUUAAGCGAGGAGGAGGCUCUUUUGGUUAAUACCCAAGAUGAGUGGACGUUACUCGCAGAAUAAGCACCGGCUAACUCUGUGCCAGCCGCCGCCGUAA